This 253-nucleotide ribosomal RNA is filed under the name uncultured bacterium. Its description in RNAcentral is "partial 16S ribosomal RNA". It matches the Rfam family "Bacterial small subunit ribosomal RNA", at positions 524 to 776 of the family's 1533-position model. The record is from RNAcentral.
UACGAAGGGGGCUAGCGUUGCUCGGAAUCACUGGGCGUAAAGCGCACGUAGGCGGAUUGUUAAGUCAGGGGUGAAAUCCUGGAGCUCAACUCCAGAACUGCCUUUGAUACUGAGGAUCUUGAGUCCGGGAGAGGUGAGUGGAACUGCGAGUGUAGAGGUGAAAUUCGUAGAUAUCAGGAGGAACACCGGUGGCGAAGGCGGCUUUCUGGACGACAACUGACGCUGAGACGCGAAAGCGUGGGGAGCAAACAGG